ACACUGAGAAAGCUUGCUUUCUUGCUGACGACCGGCGGACGGGUGAGUAAUGUAUGGGGAUCUGCCCGAUAAAGGGGGAUAACUACUGCAAACGGUGGCUAAUACCGCAUAAUGUCUACGGACCAAAGCAGGGGCUCUUCGGACCUUGCACUAUCGGAUGAACCCAUAUGGGAUUAGCUAGUAGGUGGGGUAAAGGCUCACCUAGGCGACGAUCUCCAUCUGUUCUGAGAGGAUGAUCAGCCACACUGGUACUGAGCCACGACCAACACUUCUACGGGAGGCAGCAGUGGGGAAUAUUGCACAAUGGGCGCAAGCCUGAUGCAGCCAUGCCGCGUGUAUGAAGAAGGCCUUAGGGUUGUAAAGUACUUUCAGCGGGGAGGAAGGUGAUAAGGUUAAUACCCUUAUCAAUUGACGUUACCCGCAGAAGAAGCACCGGCUAACUCCGUGCCAGCAGCCGCGGUAAUACGGAGGGUGCAAGCGUUAAUCGGAAUUACUGGGCGUAAAGCGCACGCAGGCGGUCAAUUAAGUCAGAUGUGAAAGCCCCGAGCUUAACUUGGGAAUUGCAUCUGAAACUGGUUGGCUAGAGUCUUGUACAGGGGGGUAGAAUUCCAUGUGUACCGGUGAAAUGCGUAUAGAUGUGGAGGAAUACCGGUGGCGAAGGCGGCCCCCUGGACAAAGACUGACGCUCAGGUGCGAAAGCGUGGGGAGCAAACAGGAUUAGAUACCCUGCUAGUCCACGCUGUACACGAUGUCGAUUUAUAGGUUGUGGUCUUGAACCGUGGCUUCUGGAGCUAACGCGUUAAUCGACCGCCUGGGGAGUACGGCCGCAAGGUUAACACUCAAAUGACUUGACGGGGGGCCCGCACAGCGGUGGAGCAUGUGGUGUAAGUCGAUGCAAC
Molecule: ribosomal RNA, 899 nt
Filed under: bacterium HKG204
Lineage: Bacteria
Description: bacterial SSU rRNA
Rfam family: Bacterial small subunit ribosomal RNA
Source: RNAcentral